RNAcentral lists this ribosomal RNA (755 nucleotides) under Massilia timonae. RNAcentral's name for it is "bacterial SSU rRNA". It matches the Rfam family "Bacterial small subunit ribosomal RNA", at positions 1 to 750 of the family's 1533-position model. The record is from RNAcentral. Lineage: Bacteria; Pseudomonadati; Pseudomonadota; Betaproteobacteria; Burkholderiales; Oxalobacteraceae.
ACAUAGGAGUUUGAUCAUGACUCAGAAUGAACGCUGGCGGCAUUGCUUUACACAUGCAAGUCGAACGGUUACAGGGAGCUUGCUCCGCUGACGAGUGGCGAACGGGUGAGUAAAUAUAUCGGAACGUACCCAAGAGUGGGGGAUAACGUAGCGAAAAGUUACGCUAAUACCGCAUACGAUCUAAGGAUGAAAGUGGGGGACCGCAAGGCCUCAUGCUCCUGGAGCGGCCGAUAUCUGAUUAGCUAGUUGGUGAGGUAAAGGCUCACCAAGGCAACGAUCAGUAGCUGGUCUGAGAGGACGACCAGCCACACUGGGACUGAGACACGGCCCAGACUCCUACGGGAGGCAGCAGUGGGGAAUUUUGGACAAUGGGGGCAACCCUGAUCCAGCAAUGCCGCGUGAGUGAAGAAGGCCUUCGGGUUGUAAAGCUCUUUUGUCAGGGAAGAAACGGUUUUGGCUAAUAUCCAGACCUAAUGACGGUACCUGAAGAAUAAGCACCGGCUAACUACGUGCCAGCAGCCGCGGUAAUACGUAGGGUGCAAGCGUUAAUCGGAAUUACUGGGCGUAAAGCGUGCGCAGGCGGUUUUGUAAGUCUGUCGUGAAAUCCCCGGGCUUAACCUGGGAAUGGCGAUGGAGACUGCAAGGCUAGAGUUUGGCAGAGGGGGGUAGAAUUCCACGUGUAGCAGUGAAAUGCGUAGAGAUGUGGAGGAACACCGAUGGCGAAGGCAGCCCCCUGGGUCAAAACUGACGCUUAU